GCGUGUGUGAAGAAGGCCUGCGGGUUGUAAAGCACUUUCAGUGGGGAAGAAAAGCGGGGUGCGAAUACCGCCCUGUCUUGACGUUACCGACAGAAGAAGCACCGGCUAACUCCGUGCCAGCAGCCGCGGUAAUACGGAGGGUGCGAGCGUUAAUCGGAAUCACUGGGCGUAAAGCGCACGUAGGCGGCGCGUUAAGUCAGAUGUGAAAGCCCCGGGCUCAACCUGGGAACUGCAUUUGAUACUGGCGUGCUCGAGUCUGAUAGAGGGGGGUGGAAUUCCCGGUGUAGCGGUGAAAUGCGU
Molecule: ribosomal RNA, 300 nt
Filed under: uncultured bacterium
Lineage: Bacteria
Description: bacterial SSU rRNA
Rfam family: Bacterial small subunit ribosomal RNA
Source: RNAcentral